UACGUAGGGUGCGAGCGUUAAUCGGAAUUACUGGGCGUAAAGCGUGCGCAGGCGGUGAUGUAAGACCGAUGUGAAAUCCCCGGGCUUAACCUGGGAACUGCAUUUGUGACUGCAUGGCUGGAGUGCGGCAGAGGGGGAUGGAAUUCCGCGUGUAGCAGUGAAAUGCGUAGAUAUGCGGAGGAACACCGAUGGCGAAGGCAAUCCCCUGGGCCUGCACUGACGCUCAUGCACGAAAGCGUGGGAGCAAACAGG
Molecule: ribosomal RNA, 252 nt
Filed under: uncultured bacterium
Lineage: Bacteria
Description: partial 16S ribosomal RNA
Rfam family: Bacterial small subunit ribosomal RNA
Source: RNAcentral